RNAcentral lists this ribosomal RNA (490 nucleotides) under uncultured bacterium. Its description in RNAcentral is "partial 16S ribosomal RNA". It matches the Rfam family "Bacterial small subunit ribosomal RNA", at positions 30 to 507 of the family's 1533-position model. The record is from RNAcentral.
AUUGAACGCUGGCGGCAGGCCUAACACAUGCAAGUCGAACGGUAACAGGAAGAAGCUUGCUUCUUUGCUGACGAGUGGCGGACGGGUGAGUAAUGUCUGGGAAACUGCCUGAUGGAGGGGGAUAACUACUGGAAACGGUAGCUAAUACCGCAUAACGUCGCAAGCCCAAAGAGGGGGGCCUUCGGGCCUCUUGCCAUCGGAUGUGCCCAGAUGGGAUUAGCUAGUAGGUGGGGUAACGGCUCACCUAGGCGACGAUCCCUAGCUGGUCUGAGAGGAUGACCAGCCACACUGGAACUGAGACACGGUCCAGACUCCUACGGGAGGCAGCAGUGGGGAAUAUUGCACAAUGGGCGCAAGCCUGAUGCAGCCAUGCCGCGUGUAUGAAGAAGGCCUUCGGGUUGUAAAGUACUUUCAGCGGGGAGGAAGGGAGUAAAGUUAAUACCUUUGCUCAUUGACGUUACCCGCAGAAGAAGCACCGGCUAACUCCGUG